Molecule: ribosomal RNA, 440 nt
Filed under: uncultured bacterium
Lineage: Bacteria
Description: bacterial SSU rRNA
Rfam family: Bacterial small subunit ribosomal RNA
Source: RNAcentral
AACGCGAAGAACCUUACCUGGGCUCGAACGGCUCGUGAACGAUCGUGGAAACACGGUUUUCCCGCAAGGGACUAGAGUCGAGGUGCUGCAUGGCUGUCGUCAGCUCGUGUCGUGAGAUGUUGGGUUAAGUCCCGCAACGAGCGCAACCCUUGUCCUGUGUUGCCAUGCCGAAAGGCGGAACUCGCAGGAGACCGCCAGCGAUAAGCUGGAGGAAGGUGGGGAUGACGUCAAGUCCUCAUGGCCUUUAUGUCCAGGGCUACACACGUGCUACAAUGGGCGGUACAAAGCGCUGCGAAGCCGCAAGGUGAAGCCAAUCGCAAAAAACCGCUCUCAGUUCGGAUUGCAGGCUGCAACUCGCCUGCAUGAAGCUGGAAUCGCUAGUAAUGCUAUAUCAGAACGAUAGCGUGAAUACGUUCCCGGGCCUUGUACACACCGCGAGC